GAGACCCACGCCCACAGUUGCCAGCUUAUCCUCCGGGGUGAAGGGUACACUGUGGGGACCGCCGCUGCUAAAGCGGAGGAAGGAAUGGGCWACGGUAGGUCAGUAUGCCCCGAAUUAUCCGGGCUACACGCGGGCUACAAUGGUUGGGACAAUGGGUAUCUACCCCGAAAGGUGAUGGCAAUCUCCUAAACCCAUCCUUAGUUCGGAUUGAGGGCUGCAACUCGCCCUCAUGAAGCUGGAAUCCGUAGUAAUCGCGUNUCAAUAUGGCGCGGUGAAUAU
RNAcentral lists this ribosomal RNA (279 nucleotides) under uncultured methanogenic archaeon. RNAcentral's name for it is "partial 16S rRNA". It matches the Rfam family "Archaeal small subunit ribosomal RNA", at positions 1047 to 1324 of the family's 1478-position model. The record is from RNAcentral. Lineage: Archaea; Methanobacteriati; Methanobacteriota.